This 249-nucleotide ribosomal RNA is filed under the name uncultured Actinomycetales bacterium. RNAcentral describes it as "partial 16S ribosomal RNA". It matches the Rfam family "Bacterial small subunit ribosomal RNA", at positions 84 to 334 of the family's 1533-position model. Lineage: Bacteria; Bacillati; Actinomycetota; Actinomycetes; Actinomycetales. The record is from RNAcentral.
GGGGUGCUCGAGUGGCGAACGGGUGAGUAACACGUGAGUAACCUGCCCUUGACUUUGGGAUAACUUCAGGAAACUGGGGCUAAUACCGGAUAGGAGCUCCUGCUGCAUGGUGGGGGUUGGAAAGUUUCGGCGGUUGGGGAUGGACUCGCGACUUAUCAGCUUGUUGGUGGGGUAGUGGCUUACCAAGGCUUUGACGGGUAGCCGGCCUGAGAGGGUGACCGGCCACAUUGGGACUGAGAUACGGCCCAG